Molecule: RNA transcript, 1841 nt
Organism: Taeniopygia guttata (zebra finch)
Lineage: Eukaryota; Metazoa; Chordata; Aves; Passeriformes; Estrildidae
Source: RefSeq, a predicted model, not a curated record
CGGUACCGCGCUGCGUCGGGCGGUUCGCGUGGCGGAGCCCCGCGCGGCGCCCUCGGUGCUGCGGGGUUUGAGGGGCCCCGCCGUGCCCCGUUAAGGGAAGGUCACCUUUCCCCGGGGCAGGGCGGCCGCGGGGGAAGCGGUGCGGGGCGUCCUUCCCCGGGCUCCGCGGCGCCGCCCGGGCCGGGCGGCCUCGCCCCCGGUGUCGGCGGGGCGGGGAGGGGGGGUUGGGGCCGCGGCCCCAGCGCCGCUCCCGCACCGGGGGAUCCCGGUGGGGCGGGCGGGGCGGCGGUCGGGGCCUCCCCGCGACGGGCGGUGGCCGCCCCGGGGGUGACCUUCACUCCGGGAGCGGACUGGGCAGACUUUGACCCGCGGCCGCUCCCCGCCGCGGGCACGGAGCGGAGCAUCCCGGGCGGCGGAGGGCCGGGAGGGCGGCGGGGUGUCCCGGAGGGAGUGCAGGGAGCGGCUUUGCCGUGGGGCGGCGUGGGGGGAGCUGCCUCCGUUAGGGGGAGGGGGGAGUUGGUUUUACCGAGAGGAGAGACACUGGGGGAGGGGGGGUGACCCGGUUAUACCGGGAGAGGGGCACCGGCUGGGGGCACAGCGUUCUUUAUUAGCGGGGUGAGCUCCCACCGGGGCCCUUCCCAGAGCCGCUGGGGUCUGUCGGUGCUGAGGAGGGCUAGGUGGGAGCCCUGUUACCGACAGAGCCCCCCUCGUCGGUUCCCGGUGCCGGCGGGGCCCCCGGUGCCGGCGGGGCCGGUGACUUCAGCGGCGGGUGCUGAUUCACGGGCCGGCGGGGGUGGAGCAGGGCCGGGACCAGCUCGCUGGAAUCCGGACCAGAUGUACCCGGCACGCCAGGAAUGCUCGGCAUCCCCGCCGGGCCCCGCCGCCGCCGCUGCGCCCCGGCCACCGGCACCCACCGGGUCCGGCCUUCCCCGGGGCCGGCCGGGGUCCGCAGUGCCUGUGGGGUGCCGCUGCUGGGAGGAUGCUGUGGUGGUCCCCCGAGGUUUUUUCCCGUGUUUCCCGCUGCUAUCUGUCCCCCACCGUGCCCGGUUUCCCGGGAGGUUCCCCAAACUCCCUAGCAGCGCUGGGUGUUGUAGAAAAGGGAUUUUUUUCGCGGGUCAGGGGGGAAUCAAUGGGGUCCAACACAGCCCUGGCGUUGGCGUGCUCACCCUCUAACAAAACGACUCCGAAGGGGGCUGAGCUGGCCGAAAUUCCCCCGCCGGUAGCUCGGCAGCAGCUGCCUGACAAAGUGUCUUCCCCUGGCUCCCGUCCAGGUGGGACCCUGCCAGCGCUGAUGGAUGCCCGAGAAAUGGCCUUGGAUUUCCCUGCCUGUUUUCCCUGGUUUAGGGCUGGCUGCAGGUGCUGGAGCUCACGCACAACCUGCUUGUGGAGGAAUGGGGAGAGUUGAGGUUGGAGCUGCCUCUGGAUUUCCUUGGAUGGGGGGAUGUCCCUGGGGGGAGGACAGAGUGAUAGGUGCUGCCGUGCCACCCUGCUCCUGGCUAACCAGCACCAGUUCUUCAGUGGCAAGCUUUAUGUCCUUCUCCAGUAGCUAAAGCUGCCAGUUGAAGAACUGUUGAAUGUAGCCACUCUCUUCUCGUCACUGGGACCUUGGAUGCCAGCCAGAGCCGUGCCACGAGCCACUCUGCAGAGUCCCGUGGAUUGGAGGGCUGAGGAUGAGUCUGACCAGGAUGAAGAAAGUCUCCUCGGAGCCUCCAGACAGAGCCUUGGCUGGAGGAUUGUAGAGGCAGCUGUGCCAGCGGGGAUGCCAAACUCUGUCACCCCCUCAGUGGGGUGGCACCGAGCUGGGAGGAGGCCGAGAGAAGCAUUAAACGUUGUUUUCCUCA